Non-coding RNA from Dipodomys ordii (Ord's kangaroo rat), 65 nucleotides. Lineage: Eukaryota; Metazoa; Chordata; Mammalia; Rodentia; Heteromyidae. The record is from Rfam.
GGUGGCUCAGUGAUAGAGUGCUUGCCUUGCAUGCAUGAGGCCCUAGGUUCAAUUCCUCAGCACCA